This 83-nucleotide microRNA precursor is filed under the name Ovis aries (sheep). RNAcentral describes it as "miRNA (ENSOARG00000022559.1)". The record is from RNAcentral. Lineage: Eukaryota; Metazoa; Chordata; Mammalia; Artiodactyla; Bovidae.
UAUUGGAUUGGCCAAAAAGUUCAUUUGGGUAUUUCUGUAAUAUCUUAUGGAAAAACCCAAACAGACUUUUUGGUCUACCCUAU